Molecule: non-coding RNA, 1166 nt
Organism: Bemisia tabaci
Lineage: Eukaryota; Metazoa; Arthropoda; Insecta; Hemiptera; Aleyrodidae
Source: RefSeq, a predicted model, not a curated record
UCAGUUUUAGUGCGAGAAAAUGCUAUUUUUCCACUCCGAUCUCAACGCUCUCCAGUUUUGUAUUGCAGGACUACGUUUCGAUACUGUGUACUUGUUUAACGUAGCGAAUAUCUGAGAGUUCAGCACCUGGAACCUGCGGAUUCAGUCCACCAUCCGUUUGAGGUUCUGAAACAAGAAAUUAACAACACUCAGAAAACCUAGCUCAGGAAACAGAUUUCCCUGACCUGAUGGAAUUUCUUGACAAUUCCUGGUUUUCAAGAGCUGAAGACACCAUAUUAAGUCAACUUGUUACUUCCCAUAGUUUCAGAGAAAGAAGUCAGAACUGCAGAAGAAAAAUCUCCGUGCCAGCAGAGGUCAAGUUAGGGACCUUCUUUUCCACAUGCAAAUUUUUCUUAACAUUUGAUUAAAUGCACGGAGGAAGAAAAUACGGAUAUUUCAGCACAGGUUUGACCCUGAAAUCUAAAAAAUUGAAGGAGAUAUUGGUCCUGAAUUUCCGAGACAAAAAAUUUUUAGUUGUAGGAAAACUCGGUUUGAGUGUUUGCAAAAAAUUAAGGAAAAUAUUCUCCCAGAGGAUAAGGUCCCUCCUCACAGAUCAAGUCGCACUUAUUAUUACUUUUGUUUUGAAUUAACAUCCAACAAACAGGGUUUCCGCAGAAUUUAGAAAAUUAUAUGUUUUGACAUUUUCCUGACACAUUUUAGUGAAAUUUCCUUAACAAUUAAAGAUUCACCGAAUGGUUAAAAAUGCGUAAUUUAAAAUAGUUUAUUCACAAAUUUGGUUGUUCGAGACUUCAAAUCUAUUGUUGAAAGCAAAUGAAAGUGAUUCAAUAGUGUUUCCAUGACACCUUUGUCGUUUUCCCUGAUAUGACAUUUCCAGGUUUUCCCUAACCUUUGAGCGUUCCCUGAUAAUUACCAGUAUUUUCUGACUGUGGCAACCCUAUACAAAUUAAUAUAAAUAACUUUCAAAAUAUCAAUGCUUUGGGCUAGAGAACCAAAAGCUUUUCCAAAACUAAGUAAACAAGGCAUAGCUGAAUAAAGUUUUCACAAAUUCAGCAACUUACCUAUCGAAAAACUUACAAGUUUCCAGCACAAAAGAAAAUCAAUGAAGCUCUCAUAACAUUGUCACCGCUAACUUGAAAGUGGAGAAUAAAAAAAAAGUUGGUUCUUCC